This 855-nucleotide ribosomal RNA is filed under the name uncultured bacterium. RNAcentral's name for it is "bacterial SSU rRNA". It matches the Rfam family "Bacterial small subunit ribosomal RNA", at positions 60 to 914 of the family's 1533-position model. The record is from RNAcentral.
AGUCGACGGCAGCGCGGGACAACCUGGCGGCGAGUGGCGAACGGGUGAGUAAUAUAUCGGAACGUACCCAAGAGUGGGGGAUAACGUAGCGAAAGUUACGCUAAUACCGCAUACGAUCUAAGGAUGAAAGCAGGGGAUCUUCGGACCUUGUGUUCCUGGAGCGGCCGAUAUCUGAUUAGCUAGUUGGUGAGGUAAAGGCUCACCAAGGCCACGAUCAGUAGCUGGUCUGAGAGGACGACCAGCCACACUGGAACUGAGACACGGUCCAGACUCCUACGGGAGGCAGCAGUGGGGAAUUUUGGACAAUGGGCGAAAGCCUGAUCCAGCAAUGCCGCGUGAGUGAAGAAGGCCUUCGGGUUGUAAAGCUCUUUUGUCAGGGAAGAAACGGUGAGGGCUAAUAUCCCUCGCUAAUGACGGUACCUGAAGAAUAAGCACCGGCUAACUACGUGCCAGCAGCCGCGGUAAUACGUAGGGUGCAAGCGUUAAUCGGAAUUACUGGGCGUAAAGCGUGCGCAGGCGGUUUUGUAAGUCUGACGUGAAAUCCCCGGGCUCAACCUGGGAAUUGCGUUGGAGACUGCAAGGCUAGAAUCUGGCAGAGGGGGGUAGAAUUCCACGUGUAGCAGUGAAAUGCGUAGAGAUGUGGAGGAACACCGAUGGCGAAGGCAGCCCCCUGGGUCAAGAUUGACGCUCAUGCACGAAAGCGUGGGGAGCAAACAGGAUUAGAUACCCUGGUAGUCCACGCCCUAAACGAUGUCUACUAGUUGUCGGGUUUUAAUUAACUUGGUAACGCAGCUAACGCGUGAAGUAGACCGCCUGGGGAGUACGGUCGCAAGAUUAAAACUCAAAGGAAUUGAC